UUGAUUUUAAUGCUAGGGUUUUGUGUAAUUUCCACUUUUUAAAAUUAACCCACAAACACCAAUUUAAUCCUAGAAUGUGAAACCCAUUUGGCCAUUCCAUUCAAAAUUCCAAAUCCAGUAACCCACCUAAUCAUACAUUCAUACCUCUUAGAAUCUCAAAUCUCAAAUCUCAUUUUCUUAUUGAUUUUGGAAAUGCCCAAGCCUGAAGCCUCUGCAAGCCAAAUUAUAGAAAGAAAAUGGUAUUGGUGGCAACCACAUUCCGAGGUAUUGUCAUUUCUGAUUCAUCACGUUUCAUCACUUCAUCUCCGAUUUCUCACCGGAAUUUUGAGGUAUCGAUGUAUUGUCAUUUUAUGCACAAUAAUAAAAUGCUAUAUUUUGUUGUUUGUACGAAAUUAUGAAGUUGAAUUUCUAUUAGCAAAAAAAAAAACUGCUUGAAUAAGUCACAAUAGGAACAUUUUCGGUUUUUACCAAAUUAGUGUCGACUGAAUGGAAAUGGGUACUGAAGACUAGAAGAGACUUUGGAUUUUGGGUGAUAAAUUAGUGGGAAUUUAUUUAGAAAAAUAAAUUCUUGUAAACAAGUUUUGAAAUACAAAUUAUACAAUUUAUUUAUACCGCUGCAUCUCUUCCUUAAUCUUGUAGAGAAGGUGUUUGUUGAAAUGACAUAUCAUUCUCAGAUUCUCUUAUUGCUUCUACACAUUAUUGUUUUUGUUAUUCAGUUUGAGAAUUGAGAUUGAGAUUCAUAUCUAAAGGGUUAGCCGGUUAGGUUAUUUAUGGUAUCAAUUUUGAUUAGGUUUAGAAUAAUAGUUUUGUAAGUAUAGUAUAUUUUACGUUUUUCAUGUUUUAUUAUUUUUUUUUAAAUCUAAUUGAAUAUGACUUUAUUCGUUUAUUUCGGUCGAUCAACUUACUAACUCUACGGUUACAAAUGGAACAUUGUCAAUCAUAUGGUGCUAAGAAGCGAAAAACAUUGUAGAUUCUGUUAUAGACGAGUUUUAUACAGUUAAAGUUCAACGGACACUUCUUCAGAAGGUAAUGUUGUAAUGAAAUUUUAUGCCGUAUACUUUAUAAAAAAAUUUGUAUAUAUAUUUUAAAUUUCAGCCCCCCAACAUAAUUUUCUGGGUUUGCCCCUGGAAAUAGAGUACAAGACAGGCUCUCUCUAUUUAUAUUUAUACAUCUAUAUGUAGACAAGCUACAUAGUAUACUACAUACUAAAACUGCUCCUCGGAAAGAGGAAAAUUAAGAAAGAAAAUAGUUGUGAAAACCACGUUUUUUGCUAGCUUUAUUAUGUAGUUCAAAACAUGGAUUUCCAUUUGUGACUAUAGCCAUAUAUCUCCAGCAUCUUUCGGCAACUUUUUAAGUGAGCCAUCGAGAUGAAGAGUCACGAGAGUAUCAGCGGACCCUAAGAGUUGUCCAUUGAUGAAAACAGCUGGGAUGGCAUAGCUGCACCCUAGCCUCAUCAGAGCCCACUCUAUUUCUUUUCCUCUCGAAUCCUUAUUGAGCUUGUAGAUCGUAGGACUCACGCCUUGCUCAUAAAAUAAUUUCUUGAUAGAAUGGCACAUGCAACAUGUACUUUUACUAGACAUCACCAUGGCUUUUUGUGAAGCCAGAUUUGCUAUGCGAUCCAUCAAAUUACACGAAAAGGAUUAGAGAAGAGGAAACGUGGCACGAGUAAUUUAACCAGUAUACAAUAAAGUUGUUAAAAAGGGGCUCUAGUUUGAUAGAAAAUACACGAUUUUCUUGAACAAAUUUAACGAAGAUGAAUUGUAUUAGACUUGGUUUGUCAUAUGAUAUGGUUUCACUACCUUAUGCAUAUAGAGGCAAGUGUUGAUGUUGGAAUACUUAUUUGAAUUGUUCUAUAAAUUUUAAAAAAAUGACAAAAGAUGAAGGUUCUUUCAGAUUCUUGGAUACAUGCUAAAUUUAACAAAUGACUCCUUGUUUGUGAUGACCUAUUUGGAUCAUUACAAGUUAUUUCUACUUGUAAUUGGAAUCUUUAAGGCUAUUCAGAUAAACCAGAUACAACUUAAAGCAUAUUCAUGUUCAACCAGAUUUUCGUCAUCAUUUUUUAUUUAUACAUAUAAUUUGUAAAUAGGUGAGGAGGCGCAUGGAGAAUGUCAACUAUGAUAGAUGAGAAUUUGGCACACACAUACACACACAUAUUGAUAGAGAAGAUGUGGGCUAAUUUGCGUCACUCUCUCAGCUUCUUGGUUGGACCACCAAGACUAGUGAUUUUCAACAAAUCUUUCUUCAUUUUUAGAGGAAAACGCAGCAAAAAUGCUUCAGGACAUUGCAGCAAAAGCAAUAUUUUUGUACUGGGUUCAGUAACAAAUCGUAGAGGCAAGUGUUGCAUUUUUUCAGUCGCAAGUGUAUGAUAUCGAAC
RNAcentral lists this long non-coding RNA (2374 nucleotides) under Olea europaea (common olive). RNAcentral's name for it is "long non-coding RNA (OEUR_LNC010564)". Lineage: Eukaryota; Viridiplantae; Streptophyta; Magnoliopsida; Lamiales; Oleaceae. The record is from RNAcentral.